This 490-nucleotide ribosomal RNA is filed under the name uncultured bacterium. RNAcentral describes it as "partial 16S ribosomal RNA". It matches the Rfam family "Bacterial small subunit ribosomal RNA", at positions 30 to 507 of the family's 1533-position model. The record is from RNAcentral.
AUUGAACGCUGGCGGCAGGCUUAACACAUGCAAGUCGAGCGGUAGCACAGGGGAGCUUGCUCCCUGGGUGACGAGCGGCGGACGGGUGAGUAAUGUCUGGGAAACUGCCUGAUGGAGGGGGAUAACUACUGGAAACGGUAGCUAAUACCGCAUAACGUCGCAAGACCAAAGAGGGGGACCUUCGGGCCUCUUGCCGUCAGAUGUGCCCAGAUGGGAUUAGCUAGUAGGUGGGGUAAUGGCUCACCUAGGCGACGAUCCCUAGCUGGUCUGAGAGGAUGUCCGGCCACACUGGAACUGAGACACGGUCCAGACUCCUACGGGAGGCAGCAGUGGGGAAUAUUGCACAAUGGGCGCAAGCCUGAUGCAGCCAUGCCGCGUGUGUGAAGAAGGCCUUCGGGUUGUAAAGCACUUUCAGCGAGGAGGAAGGUGGUGAACUUAAUACGUUCAUCAAUUGACGUUACUCGCAGAAGAAGUACCGGCUAACUCCGUG